This 119-nucleotide ribosomal RNA is filed under the name Methanobacteriaceae archaeon. Lineage: Archaea; Methanobacteriati; Methanobacteriota; Methanobacteria; Methanobacteriales; Methanobacteriaceae. The record is from RNAcentral.
UUUGGCGACCAUAGCGGUGGGGUUACACCUGGUCUCGUUUCGAUCCCAGAAGUAAAGUCCUCCUGCGUUUUUUGUGGUACUGUGGGUGUUCCUAUGGGAAGCUUUUGACGUCGUCAGCC